RNAcentral lists this unclassified non-coding RNA (432 nucleotides) under soil metagenome. RNAcentral's name for it is "partial contains 5.8S ribosomal RNA, internal transcribed spacer 2, and large subunit ribosomal RNA". The stretch from base 1 to 120 matches the Rfam family "5.8S ribosomal RNA", at positions 35 to 154 of the family's 154-position model. The record is from RNAcentral.
GAUGAAGAACGCAGCGAAAUGCGAUACGUAAUGUGAAUUGCAGAAUUCAGUGAAUCAUCGAAUCUUUGAACGCAUAUUGCGCUCUCUGGUAUUCCGGAGAGCAUGCUUGUUUGAGUAUCAGUAAACACCUCAACUUCCAUAUCUUUUUUGAAAUGGGAGUUGGACUUGAGUGAUCCCAACGCUUUUCCUCACCGAAAAGUGGCGGGUUACUUGAAAUGCAGGUGCAGCUGGACUUUUCUCUGAGCUAUAAGCAUAUCUAUUUAGUCUGCCUAAAAAACAGAUUAUUACCUUUGCUGCAGCUAACAUAAAGGAGAUUAGUUCUUGUGCUGACUGAUGCAGGAUUCACAGAGACAGCUUCGGCUGACUUUGUAAACUCGAUCUCAAAUCAAGUAAGACUACCCGCUGAACUUAAGCAUAUCAAUAAGCGGAGGA